Molecule: ribosomal RNA, 354 nt
Filed under: uncultured Archaeorhizomycetes
Lineage: Eukaryota; Fungi; Ascomycota; Archaeorhizomycetes
Description: eukaryotic LSU rRNA
Rfam family: Eukaryotic large subunit ribosomal RNA
Source: RNAcentral
UUAGUAGUGGCGAAUGAAUCGGGAAAAGCUCAAGUUUGAAAUCCGAGGUUUACCUCGGAGUUGUAAGCUGAAGAGGCAUCGAUCGACUCGGUCCGGGCUCAAUUUCCUUGGAACAGGAGGUCAUGGAGGGUGAGAACCCCGUCUGUGGCUCGGGUGCCGUGGUCCUUGUGUCGUGUCCUCGAAGAGUCGGGUUGUUUGGGAAUGCAGCUCAAAAUGGGUGGUAAAUUUCAUCUAAAGCUAAAUAUUGGCGAGAGACCGAUAGCAAACAAGUAGAGUGAUCGAAAGAUGAAAAGUACUUUGAAAAGAGAGUGAAACAGUACGUGAAAUUGUUGAAAGGGAAGCGUUUGGCAUCAG